Capra hircus (goat) is the source of this 571-nucleotide long non-coding RNA. RefSeq lists it as uncharacterized. The record is from RefSeq and is a predicted model, not a curated record. The transcript is spliced from 3 exons. Lineage: Eukaryota; Metazoa; Chordata; Mammalia; Artiodactyla; Bovidae.
CCAGGCUCCUGCAGCUCCACAAGCAUGCAGCUGGAGAGCAAGACGUCAGCCUCCUCUUCUGGGCAGCGUCCUCUGUCCGGAUUUAGGAUUCUCCUGGGAGGCUCUCCUUUGCCUAGUUCUGGGGGUGGGGCUGGAGAGGGAGUGGUACCCAUUCACUAACACCAUCCACUCUCGCUGCCUCCUCUUCUAAACAGCUCUAAACAGGAAAGAAUGAGGAGCUGAGGGGCUGGAGUGGCUCCUGGCAGCAGGGCCGGUUCUGCCACCUCCAGGACACCCCUGAGGAAGCUGCCUGGCUCCAGCCUUCUAUCAUCUCUUCAGGAAGUGGGCUUCUUAGCAUCUUUGGCCUCAGCUGUGGGUCCAGGCCAAGAGACCAACAGCUUGAAAUGACCAGCGCCUAGAGAAAUGUCCGGCACAUCGCAGGCCCCUACCCUCUGAAAGGAUGUCUUUGUGGGAGGACAGUUGUGGCUACAGUGAAUUUGUGUUGAGAGGUACCUCUGCAGUGACCUUAUGCCCUUCAACUCAAAGGACAGAGGAGCUGCUGGAAACCCUGGAUGCCUGCAGCUCUUACCUG